Molecule: ribosomal RNA, 765 nt
Filed under: Salmonella enterica
Lineage: Bacteria; Pseudomonadati; Pseudomonadota; Gammaproteobacteria; Enterobacterales; Enterobacteriaceae
Description: partial 23S ribosomal RNA
Rfam family: Bacterial large subunit ribosomal RNA
Source: RNAcentral
AAAUUGAACUCGCUGUGAAGAUGCAGUGUACCCGCGGCAAGACGGAAAGACCCCGUGAACCUUUACUAUAGCUUGACACUGAACAUUGAGCCUUGAUGUGUAGGAUAGGUGGGAGGCUUUGAAGUGUGGACGCCAGUCUGCAUGGAGCCGACCUUGAAAUACCACCCUUUAAUGUUUGAUGUUCUAACGUGGACCCGUGAUCCGGGUUGCGGACAGUGUCUGGUGGGUAGUUUGACUGGGGCGGUCUCCUCCUAAAGAGUAACGGAGGAGCACGAAGGUUGGCUAAUCCUGGUCGGACAUCAGGAGGUUAGUGCAAUGGCAUAAGCCAGCUUGACUGCGAGCGUGACGGCGCGAGCAGGUGCGAAAGCAGGUCAUAGUGAUCCGGUGGUUCUGAAUGGAAGGGCCAUCGCUCAACGGAUAAAAGGUACUCCGGGGAUAACAGGCUGAUACCGCCCAAGAGUUCAUAUCGACGGCGGUGUUUGGCACCUCGAUGUCGGCUCAUCACAUCCUGGGGCUGAAGUAGGUCCCAAGGGUAUGGCUGUUCGCCAUUUAAAGUGGUACGCGAGCUGGGUUUAGAACGUCGUGAGACAGUUCGGUCCCUAUCUGCCGUGGGCGCUGGAGAACUGAGGGGGGCUGCUCCUAGUACGAGAGGACCGGAGUGGACGCAUCACUGGUGUUCGGGUUGUCAUGCCAAUGGCACUGCCCGGUAGCUAAAUGCGGAAGAGAUAAGUGCUGAAAGCAUCUAAGCACGAAACUUGCCCCGAG